Molecule: unclassified non-coding RNA, 240 nt
Filed under: soil metagenome
Description: partial contains 5.8S ribosomal RNA, internal transcribed spacer 2, and large subunit ribosomal RNA
Source: RNAcentral
AAGACUAUAGACCUGCGGAGUACCUGCGGAAGGAUCAUUACCGAGUUAUCAACUCCCAAACCCCUGUGAACAUACCCGAACGUUGCCUCGGCGGGACCGCCCCGGCGCCCCUAGCGGCCCGGAACCAGGCGCCCGCCGGAGGACCCAAACUCUUGCUUUAAACAGUGGCAUACUCUCUGAGUCUCACAAACAAAAAAUAAAUCAAAACUUUUAGCAACGGAUCUCUAGAUCGGAAGAGCA